AGCAGUAGCCACGGUAAUACAGAGGCCUCAAGCGUUGUUCGGAUUCAUUGGGCGUAAAGGGUGCGUAGGCGGUCGGGUAAGUCGGAUGUGAAAUCCUGGGGCUCAACCUCAGAACUGCAUUCGAUACUGCUUGGCUAGAGGACUGGAGAGGAGAUCGGAAUUCACGGUGUAGCAGUGAAAUGCGUAGAUAUCGUGAGGAAGACCAGUGGCGAAGGCGGAUCUCUGGACAGUUCCUGACGCUGAUGCACGAAGGCCAGGGGAGCAAACGGGAUUAGAUACCCCCGUAGUCCCUGUCUCUUAUAC
Molecule: ribosomal RNA, 303 nt
Filed under: uncultured bacterium
Lineage: Bacteria
Description: partial 16S ribosomal RNA
Rfam family: Bacterial small subunit ribosomal RNA
Source: RNAcentral